Molecule: ribosomal RNA, 491 nt
Filed under: uncultured Eubacteriales bacterium
Lineage: Bacteria; Bacillati; Bacillota; Clostridia; Eubacteriales
Description: bacterial SSU rRNA
Rfam family: Bacterial small subunit ribosomal RNA
Source: RNAcentral
GAGUUUGAUCCUGGCUCAGGAUAAACGCUGGCGGCGCACAUAAGACAUGCAAGUCGAACGGACUUAACCCUUUGUUUACAUUGGGAGCGGUUAGUGGCGGACUGGUGAGUAACACGUAAGCAACCUGCCUAUCAGAGGGGGAAUAACAGUGAGAAAUCACUGCUAAUACCGCAUAUGCUAACAGUAUUGCAUGAUACAGUUAGGAAAGGAGCAAUCCGCUGAUAGAUGGGCUUGCGUCUGAUUAGCUAGUUGGUGGGGCAACGGCCUACCAAGGCAACGAUCAGUAGCCGGACUGAGAGGUUGAACGGCCACAUUGGGACUGAGAUACGGCCCAGACUCCUACGGGAGGCAGCAGUCGGGAAUAUUGCGCAAUGGAGGAAACUCUGACGCAGUGACGCCGCGUAUAGGAAGAAGGUUUUCGGAUUGUAAACUAUUGUCGUUAGGGAAGAUACAAGACAGUACCUAAGGAGGAAGCCCCGGCUAACUAUGUA